Molecule: transfer RNA, 64 nt
Filed under: Ophisternon infernale
Lineage: Eukaryota; Metazoa; Chordata; Actinopteri; Synbranchiformes; Synbranchidae
Description: tRNA-Ser
Source: RNAcentral
AAAUGAGACAUACAACAAAAUCUGCUAACUUUUGUUACCUUGAUUAAAUUCCAAGGCUUAUUUA